This 1248-nucleotide ribosomal RNA is filed under the name Triticum aestivum (bread wheat). Its description in RNAcentral is "partial small subunit ribosomal RNA". The record is from RNAcentral. Lineage: Eukaryota; Viridiplantae; Streptophyta; Magnoliopsida; Poales; Poaceae.
AUGCUGAAUGAGGAGGAAUUUGAAACAGCAUGGGAGGCGCUGCUAGAUAAGUACAGCUUGAGGAGCCAUAGCUACAUGACCCAAAUAUAUGAGACUAGGCGGAAGUGGGAAAAACCUUAUUUCAGAGGAGUGUUCUACGCAAAAAUGACAAGCACGCAAAGGAGUGAGAGUGCAAACCACAUGUUGAAGUCUUACAUGCCACCAGCAAGCCCAAUGCACGUGUUUGUCAGGAAAUACAUGAAGCUACAGUUUGACCACGAGGGCGACGAAAGCUACGAGGAAAAGAGGACGAUGAUAGGCGGUGCGGUGAGGCAGACUAAUCUCGCAAUAGAGCGACAUGCCAGCAAGGUGUACACCAGGAACAUGUUUGAGGAAUUCGGGCGUUUACUCAUGGAAGGAACUGCAUACAAUGUUACAGAGGUGGAAAGGAUGAGGAAAUACAGGACCACCCACAAUAAUGCAGCAAAAAGGGAAAAGUGGAGUAGGGUCGACUACGAGGUGACCAUCAACAAAGACAGAUCGAUAUUCAAUUGCGAGUGCGGGCAGUUUGAUCACACAGGGAUGCUUUGCAGCCAUCUGUUGAGGGUUAUGGAAAUUCUUCACCUUGAAGACAUUCCAAAACACCAUAUCCUAAAACGUUGGACCAGAGAUGCAAGGGAUAUACUCCCCGAUCACCUGGUGCAAUACCAAAAGGACAAUUCACAAAAUUUGUCAUUUACGUUUAGGCAUGCGACGCUGUACUUCAAAGCCAUGGAAGUUGUGAGGAUGGGGGACGCAAGCGCUGCAUGCUAUGAACACGUCAAGGCCAGCCUGGAUUCGCUGCUUCAGAGUGCAGCGCCUCUAGCAGAGAAAAGGGAUGGCCUCGCUUUUGAGGACCGUGUGAUUGCAAAUGAAGAUGCCAGGCACUUUGCCAAUGGCAACAACUCAUUAGCUAGUCUCCAUGGUGAUCACAGCCAAAGUGCCGCUAAUUCUGUCAGCACGAAUGCGUUACAGUGCCUUGCAGCGCCGCAGAAAAGGAAGGGUCCUGGCAGGCCGACGAACAACAGAGAUAAGGCGCCAUAUGAAGGGCUUAGUGAGAGAACCCGGUUCUGCAGCCUGUGUCGGUGCAGAGGUCAUAAACAGACCACAUGCCCAGAAAGGGGUGAUGAGCCGAAGAAGCCAAGGAAACCAGGCAAAUGCAAAAACUGUGGUUUAGAAGGACAUCGGCGUACUACAUGCAAAAGGCCGAUUGGGUUUGCUGAUAACUAA